ACUGCAAAGAAGAGAAGGGCGGGUUAGCUGUUGCUGGGACACCCUUACUCCAUUUCCAUUCCACCCCCAUGCUUCUUGCUUCUGCUGCCUCGACCUCUCACCUCUGGUUCAAGAUUUAAUACAGGGCUUUUUAAUUUGUAACACAAUGGCUAUUUUUACAAGUUUCUGAGUUUUAUACUGCACUUUUAAUAUGGAGGAAACCUAUAGCACACCAAAUGAUCAGAAAUUAUUGUAGGGAGUGAGUUCUGGGCAGCCAUCACAGAGAAGGAAGGCCUAUGUAACUGAUUAUGAUACAGACAGAGAAAUGGGAAGCAGAAAGUAAAAAUGCAAAGCCAGUGUGGGUGGUAUUCUAGGGCCCAGAAUAUUCUUUCCGGAGCAACAUUGUUUAUUUUCACACUAAUAGGUGCUUUUCACACUAAUAGGACACAGGCCUUUCUUUUGCUUAUUUUCUACAACAACACCUGGCGUGUCAUUUAAUAUAAGUGCUAGGGAUUACCAAUUUAACAGACAAGCCGAAGACAUGGGAUGUGGGGGAGAGAUAAGAAAAAACAGUAUAAUUUACUGACUAUAUAUAAACACUGAGAUUUCAUUUUUUUAACAGAAAAAGCACCAUGCUAAUAGCAGUAUUGAUGGAUGGAUUGAAAACUGGGGUGUGGGUGGGCUUCAACUCUGAAAUUCUGUGAUUCUAUGGCUGGCCUAGGUAGCACAGUCGUAAGUGGACCUGGAGUUGGAUUUUAGUUUGGGAUUUAUUCAUGCUCUCACUCAACAAAUAUGCACUCUGCUAGGUGCUGGAGAUAAAGCAGUAAGCAAAAACACGUAAGAUUUCCACCCUCGUGGAAUUUAAAGUCUAGAGAACACAGAUGAUCAAAUAAAUUUAUUUACAGCUGCAAUUUAUCAGGCAUAAGAGAAGAAGGUACACGGAACUGUGAGAGCCUUUGAUGGGGGAUUUGACUUGUCAGAAGAAGCAAUGCUUGAGUUGGUGGGAGUUUAGGCAAAGGGAGGAGGGAAGAGUGCUCUAGGCACAGGAGAAGGCAUGUGCAAAGGUCCUGUGGCAGAAAAAGCAUAGUGAACAUGAAAACCUGGAAGAAGGCCAGAGUGGGUGGAACAGAGAAAGCAAAAGGGAGUGUGGGGUGAGACAGCUGGGAAAAUAAGAGAAGAUCAUGUGGAAUCUUGAAGAAUAUGCACAGAAUUUUGGCUUUGUCCUAAGAGUAAACAUGCUGCUAUUGAACACUUUUAACCAGGGAAGUGACAGGAUCAGAUGUGGGAAGGUAGAGGGCGGGACAGUCUUCUGAUUGUAAGGAUUUGUGUAAAGCCCUGCAGAGGACACCCCCAGCCGGCUUUUCAGCCCGAACGCCCCAGGAAAAGCAGACAACCUUCCAUCAGCCAGUAGUGAGUCCUCGCUAUGCAUUAAACGGCCUGGAUGGAAGCACUGAUUCUGGCUCAGGAGGACUGACCAGUGGCCCCGAAGGAAUUGUAGCCAUUGGAAUACAUUUCACUUGCUAGUCUAGAUGUAGGACAUCAGCCUUUACAUUUAAUUGUGCAGAUAGCAUUCCAUUACAGGUAAUUGGGCCUUUAAAUUUUCCACUGCUUCCCCUAGCCUAGGGUUACACAAAACAAGGGAGUUUUCCAGAAGAUGGCCUGAUCCUACAGACUCCUCUCAAACCCUCUACCACAAAUGUUUUUUCCAGUGCCUGCCUCUCUGUGAAGAGGGUCCUUAACUGGGCUUUUUGUUUUGACCACUGGGUCAUCAUCAACCUUCACUUUCUCCUGCUCCAGACUUUAAAACCCCCCAAAUGUAGUGGCGGAGAAAGGUCCCCUUAAUCCCAAGAGUCACCCUAACCCCUGAUCCCCCAAGCUGGCUGUGGAACGUAAGCAGGGCCCCUGACUACUGUUUGAAACAUGAUGCACAAGGAACAGGGUGGGGUGCUGUGGCUGGGCUCUUCUGUCUGUCCCAUGUGAGCCCCCACGAGAGGUGUGGGGAACAGAGCAGCAAAGAGCGAGCAGAGAACAAGAGAGCUCUGAACUCUCGAAGGGAAAGUUGGUGAGGGGAGAAGGGUUCCAAACGAGGUUCUGAUCAUGGGAUCAGGAGACCCUCCCCGUCCUGGCCUCCUGUGCCACAGCACCAGUGAACGGAAGAGCCUGAGGACUGGAUGUUUCCUUUCGCACCAGGAAGGGUCCCUGAGCUUCUGGCAGAGCUCUGCCCCAGCCUGUGCAGUGUGGCCUCACAGAAGUCAGUAAGUCAUGAGGACUGUCAGUUUCCCCUUUCAUAAAAAAUGGAAAUAAUUGGUCCUGCCCAUGUCCUAGAGUAUUGUGAGGGCUGAGUGAAAUAGCUCUUCAAUCAGAGCUUUGAACGGGACGAGCUGCCAUCAUCUCCGCUCUUCGUUAUGUUUCAGCAAAAACACAGGGAUGCACGUCAAGGUGGGGGACUCCUAAACGCACCCAGCCAACUCUUCGCCUGCACACUGGAGGAAAAAAUUAUCCCUAAAUGGUUUUUCAUUCUAUGAGUCAAGCUCCCAUGCCUGUUUAUGAGCCAAGGGGACACUUUGGGGUAGUCCCGUGGAUCUGGACUCUGACCCUUUUCUAAGGCUUGAGUGAGCUGAGAAGGAAGAAGAGAGUUAAUACACCCCAGAGGGCAUGGAAUCAGCAGUCUCAUGACACUGCUAUUUUAAGACACUUCAAGAUUUGAAAUGAAUGAUUAAAGAUGGAACCAGCA
Molecule: long non-coding RNA, 2713 nt
Organism: Herpailurus yagouaroundi (jaguarundi)
Lineage: Eukaryota; Metazoa; Chordata; Mammalia; Carnivora; Felidae
Exons: 2
Source: RefSeq, a predicted model, not a curated record